UACGGAGGAUGCGAGCGUUAUCCGGAUUUAUUGGGUUUAAAGGGAGCGCAGACGGUAUGUUAAGUCAGCUGUGAAAGUUUGGGGCUCAACCUUAAAAUUGCAGUUGAAACUGGCGUACUUGAGUGCGGUUGAGGUAUGCGGAAUUCGUGGUGUAGCGGUGAAAUGCUUAGAUAUCACGAAGAACUCCGAUUGCGAAGGCAGCAUACUAAUCCGUAACUGACGUUCAUGCUCGAAAGUGUGGGUAUCAAACAGG
Molecule: ribosomal RNA, 253 nt
Filed under: Phocaeicola plebeius DSM 17135
Lineage: Bacteria; Pseudomonadati; Bacteroidota; Bacteroidia; Bacteroidales; Bacteroidaceae
Description: partial 16S ribosomal RNA
Rfam family: Bacterial small subunit ribosomal RNA
Source: RNAcentral